UACGUAGGGAGCAAGCGUUGUCCGGAAUCAUUGGGCGUAAAGCGCGCGUAGGUGGCCUCAUAAGUCCGUUGUGAAAGUCAAAGGCUCAACCUUUGAAAGCCGAUGGAUACUGUGAGACUAGAGUACGGAAGAGGCGAGUGGAAUUCCUGGUGUAGCGGUGGAAUGCGCAGAUAUCAUCAGGAACUCCGGUGGCGAAGGCGGCGCACUGGUCCUCUUCUGACGCUGAGGCGCGAAAGCCAGGGGAGCAAACGGG
This 253-nucleotide ribosomal RNA is filed under the name uncultured bacterium. RNAcentral's name for it is "partial 16S ribosomal RNA". It matches the Rfam family "Bacterial small subunit ribosomal RNA", at positions 524 to 776 of the family's 1533-position model. The record is from RNAcentral.